UAUUUUUUCAUUAUUUUUCACUGUGUCUGCUUGUUAAAUUACAUGUAGCAGCUGCCUUUUUGCUGUGCCAGCUCAGUAAAGAUUCGUUACCUUGAAGGUCAAUGAUGAAUAUUCUCUUGUCCUUAGAGGUCGCUCCAAGGGGUACUGUAGUUCUCUUAGUAAGAAAACUGUGCACUCGCUAGGCAUUUUUCAAUUCUAAACGUAAGGGUUUUUAGUAAAAACAGAAUAGGCUUUUUCUAGUGUUCAGAUUUUGAUGAGAAUCCAAGAAAAAUGUAAGGUUUUAUACUUAAGAGCGUGAUCACAACCAAGUAAAACCAGUGAAGAGCUCAGCUCUAAUCACGCACCUUUCAGUGUUGGCAGCUGAAAAACAAUCUUAAUUGUGCUUUUUUUUCACAGGGUUAUUUCUGAAAUGGAUGUUUAGCUUGCUCUAGUAGCAAGAUUCUUUUUCCGUCUUGGAUGAAAGUAAUAUGGUGAAUACUUUCUUGUGCAUCUGUAUGCUUAGCAUGCUGUGGUGCACUCAUCACUUAUAGUUUACUCUCGAGAGCUGCUCUUGAAAUGACAGCUGUCUGAGAGCUGGUAUGGCAUUGUGCUGAGCUUAUUGUUUUUAAAGCUUUUUCCUCUCUGAAAAGGGUGCAUGCACUAAACUUAAGUGUUCUAAGGUGAAUAGAUGCUCAGAUAAGUAAAUGGAGACUGUACACUGGUGAAAGGUAUGGUCUGGAACCAGUAACCUUUAACCUGUGCCAGUUCAAAAUGGUUAAGAAUAGUAGCUGCUUUGACCACUUUGAAAUAUUUUGUGUCCUGCUUUUAACAUAACUCUUCUCUAGGAAGUUAUAGUAGAACAUCUUGAAGCUAAACUAAUAAAGCUAAUGCUGCCUAUGUCUGAAUUUCUGUGAGAUGACAAGGUGCUUGCAAAUGUGCUAGGUGUUCUGUAUAGAUUACCUGUGACAGCUCUGCUGCAUGAGGGUUGGAAGUAGGGGAGCUCUACUUAUUUGUAUGGAAGAACAGUGAAGGUUUUUUUUAAAAAAAAAAAAAAAAAAAAAAACUUGAGUUUUUGCUACCUUAUACUGGACACUGAGAUACAAUAUACUUCAAAUUAAAGCCCCUGGUGAAAUGAGAUAAGCCUAAAGGGAGUUGGUGAUUGCCAGGUGUUUAAUGUGGGCUAACAAUGCUGCAUUGCUCUCUGGAGACUGUGGAGUAGUCUGCUCUGCAGCAGGCUGGAUGCAGUUUGUACUUGCAGGCCCUGCAGCUCCUGGUGUCCCUACAGGGCUCUAUGACUCAGCAGACUAUUGCUGAUGGUGUUCAGGGGAAGGCAGAGCAUCUGAUUGCAUUAAAGCAGACACUGGUGCUGAAUUGGGAACCCUCUGGAGUUGUGGUGCAGCUUCUUUACAGCACCUAUGUUAACAUAAUCGGCUUACUGUGCAGUCCACAUCAUCCAAUGGGAGAAUGGCUCUGUCAAAGUGCUGGUGACAACAGUGAUGCCAUUGGUGGGUUGCUUUGUUUUUCAAGCAGUGGGAGUGGAGUUGCACAGUAAUUGUAGCAUGAUGUCUCUUAUUGCUAGCCUGCAUACUCUGAUCAUGUUGAUGCCUGGUAUGAUUUCUGAGGACAAAAUCCUGAAACUCAGCUGUGGUCCUUGUAGCUUUUUUUUUACCUCAGUCUGUCAAGUGAAUGAAAUUAAACCAGCAUUUUUUCUGAAGGCUGGAAAUAAGCUAAGCCCUGCACAUUUCUAUAGCAUGGUAUAAAAUCUCGAAUUUGGAGGCAACUUCAGGUCAGCUUAACCAUGAAUUGCUGUGGUCCUAUUUUCCCUUUUACAUUUGUUAUAGAUUUGAUGCCUGUGACUGCUGGGUAGUAGAUCCAGGUAACUGAGCUCCCUGAGAAAUUGGGAUUCUGUAGGAUUUGUAAUUACUGAUGCAAGAAUAUGGUUUUUCCCCACCCUUACCUAGAACUUUAACUGCCUUGAUUACUUUGAUUAGAGGAAGGAAUAUAUUUUAACUUAAUGGAAUCAGCUGGUUCUUGCAAAUGGGUACUGUGGCAUUUUACUUGCUAGUAAUCUAGUUCAAUAUGCUAGGGUUGAGUUAACUUUUUGGCUCUGAAUUUUUUGUACCCUCUUUUUACUGGCUUUAUAUCAAGCUAUAAGCACAAGAACAGUACUAAAUUUGCUGCUAUAUGUCAGUGAGAUUAAAUCCUGCUGACUUGCAGAAUACUGAGGUUAAAUAAAAGGAGCUGUUUUUAUAACACCUUAUGUAAAUUAUAUGUUCAUGUUUGUUUUGUAUACAAAACAUCUUCCUUUCUAGUUGAAAUGAGCUCUAAUUGCAACAGCAUUCUUGGCCUUAUCACUGCUUAGUAUGUUUUAUUCUUCUGGUAACAAAGGUAAGUAAAGACUUCAUUUUUUUCAUAGGGCUGACAUUUGCCUGUUGGGUCAAAUGUUUGCUCCCUGCCUGUAGCAAGAGUGGAAACUUCAGCUUGGCUGUUAAGAAAACCAGCCUUCUAAGGGAGGAAGUAGCUAUGUCCUUUACUACUUGAACUUUUAUUAAACCUGGGACUGGAUCAGGUCCCUGAGCUAGUUUCUUGGGCACAUGUUAGUUCUGAUAUCAGCUGGUGACAGAACACAAUGGAGGGCUGAUGGGAAAGGUUGGACCAGAGCAGCUCAAAUACAGAGAGGUGAAGUUAUAGUGGUACUCUGUCCUUUGGGCAACUGAGUCCAGUGUGUCACCAAAAGAGCUUUUUGGGACUCCCAAGUUUCUUGUAAAAAGUAUAGCUCAGGAUUUGAACUAGCUUGACCAGAAAAUGACACUUGUAAGUGCAUUCUUUAUUGCAUAUAACAAGGUAAGCUGCAAGUAGAUUAAGGCUAUUUCACAGCUGAUUUCAGUUCUUGGUUGUAUGAGUGCUUGGGACUGUUGCAGUAAAAAUAUACUGCCUGUGGCAGACUUCUUGCCAAUGUGUUGCUUCUGUCUGUCACAGAAGGAGGUAGACUAACAGAGGCAGCAUGUUCCUUUAUCCUCUUCAUUGGGAACUCUGUAGAUCAAGGAACACUGGUUAAUGGCCAGCAUGGGUGGCCAUUUCUAGCAGGGCUGCAGGUGCCUUUGACCAAUCAGUAACAUGACUUACAGGCAAUAACAGAGAAACUUUGGCGUUACUGCAUUUUUAUACAUGCUUCCUGAACUGAAGUGGAAGCGACUAGCUGAUAGCCUAAGCUGGAUCUCUAUAGAUCAAAGACCUAUUGUACUGCUAAGCUAAGGUCCCACAACUGUUUCUACAUAUUGCUUUUCUUUAUUUUAUAUAAAAGGUUAUGUUUAUGCUGAAACUUCCAUACUGUUGUCCAGGAUUCCUGUCCAAAGAAGGUUAAAAUUGACUGUUCAUGACCAUAAUGAACAUCAUAACCUGUUAUUUUCCUUAGGAGCUCAAAUGCUAUUCAGUCAUGGCCUUAAAGAAUGCUACUUUGAAUUGUGAUUCUAAGAACCCUGCUUAAAAAGCUUCUGUUUUUCAAAUCAUGGUGCAAUGUAAGUAGGUCUAAUCCAACAUUUCCUGGUGCUUAAUGGGAAUGUUGCUAUAGAAAUUUGAAUCUCUGAAAUAGUUAGGCACUCUGGGGCUGAAAUUCAUGACACAACAGUUUUUAUUCACCUUGUGAAUGAAUACAUUCACCUCAUGAAUGCAUCUGCAGUGUGCUCUUAUAAUUGACUUUUUUGGUCUUUGAAGAGAUCUUAAUGUAGCUUACAAAAUAGGGUAUUAGCUACACAUGCCCAAUGCACAAUACCAUACUAAUUGGGCUUAUUGUCUGUAGAGGCACUUAUCUUCCAAAUGGAGAUAACUUCUAGGUGUACUUGCAGCUUAGCUCUAUACAGUCUUCAUGUGAAAGAAGCUGUUAUAUUACUGGUGAAGGAAAACUAAGGGAUAUUUUGAAAUGCUGUUAUCUACUUCUGCCUUUAGGAUUCUUUGUUCUCAGAAUACUAGUAUGCUCUUAAAGUUAUAUCUGAAAUAAUUGCAUCCAUUUCUUCCUCUAAUGGAAGUAGUGUGCCCUGAGGACGAGAGCAGACCCCAUUGUGUCCAUGAAAUCUGCUAUAAAAUGACAGAUGAAGAAAGGAAAUAAUUUGUUCUGGAAGUGGUUUUGGGAUAGGCUGUCUUCAAAUAUAGACCUCUGUAAAUGUUCAUUUGAUGGAACAGCAGGCAAAUGAGGGCUUUGCUCCUCCCCAUUAAAUUAAGAGCAACUGAAUAUGAUGUAGAAAAAGCUUAUAGUUCUCAUGUUGUGCAAUGCUUUUGAACUUCACUUUUAAUUCUAGACUCUGAAUUAGCAGUGCUAGGAUACAAAUUCACAAAUAACAUGCUCCAAGCAGUUAAGUUCUGACUAGAAUGCAGUGUUUAGCAUUAGGUUCUUGCUGCUGGAGCACAAUGGCUGCACUUCAGGCUUACUGCAGAUAGCAGUUGCUGUAUUUGAAGAUGCUGGGCCAUGUUGACCGUAGAGGUCACUUAAAACAUGCAGGGAAAAAUGUAUUGCUAAUGUUAGCUGCAUGAAACCCUGUUAAUCUUUCUGUCUUCGUCUUGAUCUUUUAUUUUUCAGGUUUGCCUCAAAGCUUUUGCCAAAGACAGCAGAGAAUGUGGUCAGAAGUUGCUGGAGUUGAUGUAAAUCCUUUAAGCACUGAUAGCUUUGUCUUUCUCUCCAGUAUUCAGAUCAACCUGUUUAAGCUGUGGAGCUUCUGAAGUGUCUGAACAACUGUGCUGUAGAGAUGUUCUGCAGUAUGAAUGUCAAUAUAGCCUGGCUGCUAGUGGCUUAGCACUCCAUGCUCAGGGCAGGCCUGCUCAACAGCUUAUCUAUAAGUUUCUAAUCAUAGCCAGAGUGGUUGGAUAGGUCUCUGCAUUUUUCUAGAUGAUUCAUACUUUCAUAACCUAGUGUGAGUGUUAAGUACUUUUAAAAAUCACCAGCCAAGAAGGUGUUCGUGGGUAUCCUGAAAUGACCUCUGCAUAGAAAGAUACUGCUACAUUGUUGGCUUAUAGGUUACAGCUAGAAGCUGCAGUAGUUCGAGUUGAUGCCAGUGUUCACUGUACUAGAAGGUAAAACUGCAGUUGAGUACUUGGUCAGAAUGACUAGCAGAGUGCUAGAUUCAGUUUAACUGCCACUCAGCAGUUGUAGCAUAUCAUUAGGGUUUGGCUAUGCUGAAAGUGAUGUACAAGAGCAGAGCAAACAUGGCUGUAUUUAUGUGUAUUUCUGAGUUGUAACUGCUGCCAUCCUAUCUGCAUGUCUAUGGCUACGCUUAGCAGCUUGAGGGUCUCUUUUGUUAAUAACAGACCAUGCAUACACAGAGGAAGUGCCUCAGAUCUAUAUUGCCUGUAGGCUGAAAGUGUAAUGCUGUAGCUGAGCAGCUGAAGUAAUAGGGAAUCUGGGUGACUCAGUGGCUAGAUCAAUUCUGUGUAUAGUGCCCAUGAGAGGUGCUGCAUGUCCUGAUUCCCUUCAUGGAUAAAGCUUUAACUGAACAGUAAGUAUGGUAUAUAGUCAAUAAGAACAAAGCAUGAUGCAGACUAUACAAUUCCUUUAUCCAUGCUGGAGUCCUACUCUGAUUCUUCUGUGAUGUCUGGUAUGGUAGAUAGCAAGCAUAUUGUGCUAAUAAACCUCUAGGAAGCUGGGGGGCUGGCCAGGCUGAAUGUUAAUCUUCAGAGGAGUGGCUUUCCACUAGGGUUCAGAUCACUUCUAGUGGGUGAGCAUCUGCACAAUGAAAUGCGAGCAGGCUGGGGCCCUUAGACAAGCAGAAAUCGCUGCUGGCACAGGCCACUGUAGGAGACUUCUGGGAAGAAACAGCCAAUGUAAUGUAUUAUGCUGAGAGGAGGGCUAUGGCAGGAAAGAAUAAAGGAAGAAGGGUAAAUGGAGCUAGGGUCUAGAGGUGAAGGAAGGUUAGAAUUAAGGAGUAUUUCAUCCCCCAUGCUGAAGGAGACAAGGGUGAAUGGGUAAAAACAAUCUGAAGGGCGACAUCUUUCAAAGCCAGUUUCAAUGACCUUACUGCCCUGAUAGUACUUACAGGAAUGAUCUGGUAUAUGUACCCUUGCAAAAGCUAUAGAGAAUUUUCCCUUUAUAAAUUUGGAUGGUACUCAACAUUUGACUAGUGCACAGGAAGGAAGACACUCUUCUGCCUUCCUCAGCACUUUUGCUUUGGUUUACAAUUAUACCAUCUCCAAGUAUCUGAGGUGAGUACACAGUGCAGCUGUACUAGGAGCUUGCAAAAUGCUUUAAAGUUCAAUCUCAGACUAUUUUAGUGAUUCUUUAAAAAACUUACCUCUGGAUUUCAGCUUCUGUUGGUCUCACUGAGAAUCUUCAGUGAGAUAAAAUAGCCUAAUGAACUCAGGAAGGCAAACUCUAGAUAGUUGAAAUGCCUACAUACUGAAGAUGUAUUUUUUUCUCUAAAAUUGUUUUAGUUAUUAAAUGUCAAAUGGAAGCUAAAUUUUAAAUUUUAUGUUGUCAGUAGUUCUAUUAUCUUUGAAGACUUAAUCACAAAUUAGACCGCAUGCAAAAGCAAAGAUGCGUGCUACUUGCUACAGAUUAAUUACAUAAUGUGCCCAAGGAACCAAGCUUGUUACCUUAAUUAGAAUCAUGUUCUGUCAAGUUGUCUUACUGUUUCCAGUUAAACUUCUGCCACUACUGAAGUGCAUGCUAACUUGACACUGAAGUGCUUUGACCUGGCUGUUGGUGAAUGUUUCAUGAUGACUCUAAUGACUUUGAAGCAGUGAUGUUAUCUCUGUGCUGCUGCUUCCAUUUACCUCUACUUACUAGCAGCUGAGAACAGAGCAUAUCCAUCAGCCAGUCAAGUUCCAAAAGCUCCCCUCAUACUCAGAGGCAUAACUAUCUGAAAGAUCUUAGACUUAGUAGUAGAAGGGACAAAAAGGCAAAAUCCCUCUGUACAAGGCACUCUUUGGUACACCAGUACCCUGGCUUAUUUAUGGCUUCUGUUUUAAGUCAACUGUUUUCAUUAACACACUAGCAAUCCUUUGUCUAAAGUCUUAGCCACAUGAUAAAACCUCAGAUUGGGCCACUUGCCAGUAUUGUUUUUGACUGUCUGCUGUUGUUCCUCUGUCCAGAGCAGACUUGUAAACCAGCCUGCUCAUGACCAAAGGUAGGCAAGAGCUGAUUAACUAUCACUGAAAGAAAAUUUGCAGCAUCUUUUCCAUCAUAGCGUUUGAGGCAUUCUGCCCCUAUUGUCUUAAUUCUACACUGAGUUUCUAAGAACUGCCAUAAGGGGCUAAUAGAACUGUCUAAGCUACUAGAGAUGAGACAAUCACUUGCAUACAGGGAGUACUGAUACCUUGAGGUACUGAGAUGGCUAUUAAUUUUUAAACAUCCAUAUUCUAGUAUUAAAGAAUAGUCAGCUCAAGUCCUGGACUGUAUGCUGGGAACACUGUUCCACAAAUAAAUUCUGUAUUUCAUUCCCAUUUGAGGACUAAGCUUCUGAUCUGAAAGAGAUGUAUCAAAGUUGCCCUAUGUUUGGAGCCCCAACGUGUUUACUUUGAGCUUACUAAUUGUUCAUUCUUCACUUGGUUUGGGUUGCCCCUUGCAUCUGGAAGCAUGUGUUUAUACAGGAAAGGGAAUAGACAGGCUGGGUAAAUGCUGUGAUUUCAAGGCUUGUGCUGUCAUUCACUGGUGGCUUCAGUCUACAGAAACUUAAGUUUAAACAAUCUUUAGCUAUUCCUGAUAUUGUACUAAUUUAACCUGUGUAUCUUCUGCUGUGACCCAGCUCAGAUAUGGUCUGAGUGAAGAAAGUCUCCCUCCAGCAUCCUGCAGCUGUCUGCAUAUAGCCCAGGAUAAUACCUGAGCAAAUCAAAAGCCAAAUCCUCACCCUGUGCUCUGCCAGUUUAUGAUCUGCUUAGUGAGGAGUUCAGUUUUCCAGCUUUGUGGUCAGUGUGUGUCUAGGGAGCUAAUUUUAAAGGGUGACUUGUUAAGGCUGAUUAUUAUUUCUCAUUCCACAGGGGUCUGCUGUUAAUGUACUGUUAGCAUACAUGAAUUGUAGCUAAGGUUCUGGAUGAUCAGUGUACAACCUCAGCUCUGCUGAGCAAAUGCCAUAUCCUUUAACUAUGUGAUAUGAAUACUAGGUUUAAUGCAAAACAGGAUAUGAUUCAUGUACAUCAGAUGCCAUUGUAGGUGCACAGCUGCUGAUCAGAUAUAUACACAGCAGCUACUGCUACAAAAUCCUAAAACAAACAUGGUGUGCCAAACCCUGUAUUUCUUCGAUUCUGUAGGUAAGUUGAUUUGCCAGGAGAGAGUUUAGAAUUAGUACUGAGGUGAGCUACUCUUGCCAGGGCUUAAGGGCAAGGUCAAAUAAGCAGUGUUCCUGGAAGAAACAUGUUAUACCUGUCCUCAGCAAGGACUCUGUGUGCUGAAUAGAAAUGCUCAGUCUGCAGCUGUCCUAACUAGAACAUUAAAGUGUCACAAACAUACCUAUGCUGAGCUUGUUUGGCUACAGAGCCUUGGUAUCAGUGCCAGGCAUUACUGGGAAGACUUCUGCUCUAAUCUGAGGAUGUAUGAGGCCAGGUUAGCUUUAAAACUGUGACUCAAAUGCCAACUUCAACUUCUGCUGAUUCUAGCUCAGAAAUGAGCACUGGCAGAGGUCUUGUGUAAUGAGGAUACAUGUAACUGUUAGAAUGAGUUACUUUUUUAGGUUGAAUCUUGAAACUCUUCUGGCAAGUCAGAGCACAGUUGAAGAGCUGAUGAGCUUUUCACUUAAGAGGAAUAUAGCACAGCUGCACUUGUUUCUAGGUUUGGGUGAGUGGUUGGUAAAGAGCUGUCUUUUCUUCUCUUCAGCAGAAGCUGGGAAGGCAGAGAUAUGAGCUUUUAUUUAUACCCCACUUCUGAGAAGGCAGAGGAAAAUGGAGGCCCUGAUUUCUUGGUUUGGUUUGUUGCAUCAAUUCUGGAAGCUGUAACCAGAAUUUCUAGGCAUCUAAAGCUGUCUGGUAGUCUCUUCCACUUGGUACUAUGUGAACUCAACUAUGCUGGCUGUACUCUGCAAUCAAUGCAUGCAAGUGUCUAAAGGCUGAAUGACUCCUGUGCACCCACUGUCAAUGACUUAGCCUGCUGCCUGUUGCCUCUGCUCCAGUGAGGCAGUUGGUAAAGUAUACUGCAUCAAAUCCAGAGUGAGGAGAGAGACUGCCUUCUCAGUGGAGCACAAAGCUGACAGCACUUGCUGCUUCAGCAGACAUGUGCAGAUAUGACAAUGUUGGGAACUGCAGACCUACAUACCGCCUUUCUAUGUGUUCCUGAUUCAGUCACUUGUGAUCCCUAAAGCAUUACUGUCCAGAUUUCCACAUGUGCUCCCUGCAAAAACAGUGCAUAAAACCUAACCCCUUUCACAUGUGGAUAUGCCUGAAGAGAGCCAGAGGAAUUUCUGGGAAGAAGGAUGCAAUUAAAACUUCAAAAUAGCUC
This is a long non-coding RNA of Dromaius novaehollandiae (emu), 9391 nucleotides long. RefSeq lists it as uncharacterized. NCBI's taxonomy places the organism in Eukaryota, Metazoa, Chordata, Aves, Casuariiformes, Dromaiidae. The transcript is spliced from 2 exons. The record is from RefSeq and is a predicted model, not a curated record.